RNAcentral lists this ribosomal RNA (495 nucleotides) under uncultured bacterium. RNAcentral's name for it is "partial 16S ribosomal RNA". It matches the Rfam family "Bacterial small subunit ribosomal RNA", at positions 28 to 507 of the family's 1533-position model. The record is from RNAcentral.
GACGAACGCUGGCGGCGUGCCUAAUACAUGCAAGUAGAACGCUGAAGGAGGAGCUUGCUCUUCUGGAUGAGUUGCGAACGGGUGAGUAACGCGUAGGUAACCUGCCUGGUAGCGGGGGAUAACUAUUGGAAACGAUAGCUAAUACCGCAUAACAGUAGAUGUUGCGUGACAUUUACUUAAAAGGUGCAAUUGCAUCACUACCAGAUGGACCUGCGUUGUAUUAGCUAGUUGGUGGGGUAACGGCUCACCAAGGCGACGAUACAUAGCCGACCUGAGAGGGUGAUCGGCCACACUGGGACUGAGACACGGCCCAGACUCCUACGGGAGGCAGCAGUAGGGAAUCUUCGGCAAUGGACGGAAGUCUGACCGAGCAACGCCGCGGGAGUGAAGAAGGUUUUCGGAUCGUAAAGCUCUGUUGUAAGAGAAGAACGAGUGUGAGAGUGGAAAGUUCACACUGUGACGGUAGCUUACCAGAAAGGGACGGCUAACUACGUG